UAGGGAAUCUUCCACAAUGGACGCAAGUCUGAUGGAGCAACGCCGCGUGAGUGAAGAAGGUUUUCGGACCGUAAAGCUCUGUUGUUGGUGAAGAAGGAUAGAGGUAGUAACUGGCCUUUAUUUGACGGUAAUCAACCAGAAAGUCACGGCUAACUACGUGCCAGCAGCCGCGGUAAUCGUAGGUGGCAAGCGUUGUCCGGAUUUAUUGGGCGUAAAGCGAGCGCAGGCGGAAGAAUAAGUCUGAUGUGAAAGCCCUCGGCUUAACCGAGGAAUUGCAUCGGAAACUGUUUUCUUGAGUGCAGAAGAGGAGAGUAGAACUCCAUGUGUAGCGGUGGAAUGCGUAGAUAUAUGGAAGAAUACCAGUGGCGAAGGCGGCUCUCUGGUCUGCAACUGACGCUGAGGCUCGAAAGCAUGGGUAGCGAACAGGAUUAGAUACCCUUGGUAGUCCAUGCCGUAAAC
Molecule: ribosomal RNA, 459 nt
Filed under: uncultured bacterium
Lineage: Bacteria
Description: partial 16S ribosomal RNA
Rfam family: Bacterial small subunit ribosomal RNA
Source: RNAcentral